Molecule: RNA transcript, 2746 nt
Organism: Bufo gargarizans (Asiatic toad)
Lineage: Eukaryota; Metazoa; Chordata; Amphibia; Anura; Bufonidae
Exons: 4
Source: RefSeq, a predicted model, not a curated record
UUGCCCAUCAGGGGGAUGAGAGUUUCAGACGACCAACAUAUGCUGAGGUGGUCUCUAGAAAGAAAAAUACCCAGUGUUCAGAAAAGGAUCAGAACUCCUCGAGUAUCAUUAAGUUUCUAAAUGUCACUGUGCCCAAAUUCUCUAAAAAGGGUUCUCCUGAAAUUGCCAAUCACUUAGAACUGUACCAGUCCACCAUGGAUUCUUUAAAAUUGUAUUCUGAUGCGGACAGGAUCAGGUUCCUACCAUGGGCAUUUGAUGGUAAAUAUCGCCACUACUUUAUUUCAUUUAGGGAGAGGGGAAUUCAGGAUUGGCAGGAUGUUUUGCAUGAGGUCAAAUUAGAAUUUGGACCUUACCGUACUGUUACUGCUGCAAAACGUGAUAUCUAUAAACUUACAUGUAGACCCAAUCAGAGUCCCCGUGAAUUCCUCCCUAUCCUUAAAAAUGCCUAUGGGUUGGCGUAUAGAUCCCCAAACUGGGAGUCUGAGGAGUUCAAACAGCUGUUUUAUGAUGCAAUGCCCAUGCAAAUUAAACUUAGCUUGGCUAGAGAUCUUGAUCUCAAAGCUCCCUUGGACAGGUUGGUGACGGCUGCCACCUCACUGUAUAACAUCAGUGAAUGCCAUGCUACAGGUGAGAGGAGAUAUAAAAAGUCCCCAGAACAAAGCAUAGCAGAAGCUAAGGUAAACCCUAGCUUCAAAUUUGAAACGCAGCCACGUAAGUACCCUCAGUCUACAGGACCUGUCCAACAAACCCAGCGACAACAGUUAGGACCCAAGCAAACAAGACCUCAGAGCCCCAAUGGGCCAGAGGGGGAUAACUCCAGUGCUGGCAGGUUUAACUACCGUCCCCGAUAUUACAAUAGGGGUCCCCAAGGGGGAUACAGGCGCUGGAACAACAGGCCCAGACAACAGAAGGAAAAUAGGCCUGAAUCCCCUACCUCACCUAGAAGUCGGUCACCCACUUCUAAUAAGGGCACACCAGAGGUCCAAACUGUGCGCAAACCAAACAAUCGUUUGGAUCAGUUGGCAGAUCAAGUGGCCAAAUUACAGGAGAUCGUUAGUAAAAUGUCCCAGGUGUCAACUGGAAAACAGCCUGAGUCUUUUUUAGGGGCAACUGCAGGACCCAGCUCAGCCCCAUAAUGCAGGCAGGGCAGGGUCAGAGCCCAGGCCGGUGCAAGGCUACUGAGAUGGUUGUAAAAGAAUCUAAUGUGAUUUCUAAUCCUACUUUGCCUUGCAGUGUUCUUGUCCCUAAAAUUGAGGCCAAGGAGGAGAUGUCUAACAUGUUGUCUAUAUUACAGUCUAAUCAUGAUGAUUCCUGCACUAAUGUGUCUUCUCCAGUGAGUGAUCCUAUCACCUCAGCGUCCAUCUGCGAGCUGCCGUCUGUAAGCUGUGAUGUGAUCCAGUGUUCUCCGAAGGUGGGGGCUGCUGCUGCCACCGCGAGCAGCAAGAAUUCCAAGAAUUCAUCAGAGGUCGCGACGCUGCAGAAAGGUCAAAUCCUUAACAAAUGUCAAAUAAGUGAUCACCCUAAUUUUUUAUGUGAUUUGUUUCAGAUAGAAGGCCGAUAUUUUCUUGAUUCCUAUCUCCAAGAUGAACUUAUCGGACCAAUCAGGGGUUUACUUGACACAGGAUCACAAGCCACUAUAUUGUCAUAUAGUUACUUCCAACAAGUAUUAGAGGUGACAGCAAAGAAGCCGAAACUGAAAUCGUUUGAUGGCUCUUUGAUAAGUGUCGGCGGAGGCGCUUUGCAGGUAAAAGGUACAUCAUGGUUAAAAUUCAAAAUUGGUAAGAAGAUAAUUAGACAUCCCACUCUGAUCGUGGACCUUCCCUAUGAUCGGCUGAUCAUAGGAAUUGACCUCCUGAGAAGAUUGAGUUCCAUAGUAGACUUCAUCAAUGAAGCCGUCUGGACUCAGGUGAAGGCACCCAUUGCCUAUGAGUACUCUUGCAAUGCACAAUCCCAACGUAAUUGUCAUGUGAUUGAGGAAAGGUUUAACUCUGUUGAAGUUCAUUUUAGGAACAAUCAAACACCGGAUGUCACAAUCCUGAAAAAUGGUAAACCCGAGGAAGCCGUCAGCAGUGCCGCACAUACCAUAGCCAUCCAGAAGGACAGAAUUGAAAAGGUGAACAAUAUGGCCCGGGUGAAAUACGCCAAGAUGGAUCUGAAAUCCGAAGCCAGUUACAUAAGCCUAAGUCUGUUGAAACAGAUCGCUAAUCCUAAAAUGAUUAAAGUUUCCUCUCCACAGGACCAAUGGGUUCAUGAUCUGGAUGGAGAUUCCCAGAGUCAUAAUGUGAUUGCAAGAUGUCUUUUGUCUAUUUCCAUAGGAGAUAAAACCACAGAACAUUUAUUCAUUGUGUUGAAUGAACCACGGUACCAGCUGUACAUAGGUAAUGACCUUCUACACCGAUUUGCCGUGCAGAUUGAUCUGGUCAACAAUACUCUAUGGUCCAGAUUACCUGGGAACCCGGAGGGAUUCCAGGAUGAAGAACAAGCCUUGAGAUGGGGACAACAGAUGCCCUAUGCCGUCACAACUUCGCCAAAUGGAAGGAUUGCCGGAUGAUGAAGAGUAAAGAGAUAACAAGGUUCCAGCUAAAGACGGAAACCCAGGAUUGGUAUAGUGCAAAAUGGCACGGAGGGUUGUUGCCGUUAUCUACAUCGUCCUGAUCUUGGGGAAGGAGUUCCAGGCCGAGCCGAUUGCUGUACCAGGCCCUUCAUCUGGGAUCAUGCUACAGGAUACCACGGGAUUCAUCUUGAC